RNAcentral lists this ribosomal RNA (245 nucleotides) under Ceratocystiopsis minima. Its description in RNAcentral is "ribosomal RNA large subunit". It matches the Rfam family "Eukaryotic large subunit ribosomal RNA", at positions 101 to 347 of the family's 3401-position model. Lineage: Eukaryota; Fungi; Ascomycota; Sordariomycetes; Ophiostomatales; Ophiostomataceae. The record is from RNAcentral.
GCAACAGCUCAAAUUUGAAAUCUGGCCCCCCUUGGUCCGAGUUGUAAUUUGGAGAGGAUGUUUCUGGCGCGGCGCUUCCGGAGUUCCUUGGAACAGGACGCCACAGAGGGUGAGAGCCCCGUACGGUCGGCCGCCUAGCCUCCACGAAACUCCUUCGACGAGUCGAGUAGUUUGGGAAUGCUGCUCAAAAUGGGAGGUAAAUUUCUUCUAAAGCUAAAUACUGGCCAGAGACCGAUAGCGCACAA